This 468-nucleotide ribosomal RNA is filed under the name uncultured bacterium. Its description in RNAcentral is "partial 16S ribosomal RNA". It matches the Rfam family "Bacterial small subunit ribosomal RNA", at positions 28 to 507 of the family's 1533-position model. The record is from RNAcentral.
GACGAACGCUGGCGGCGUGCUUAACACAUGCAAGUCGAACGGAAAGGCCCUGCUUUUGUGGGGUGCUCGAGUGGCGAACGGGUGAGUAACACGUGAGUAACCUGCCCUUGACUUUGGGAUAACUUCAGGAAACUGGGGCUAAUACCGGAUAGGAGCUCCUGCUGCAUGGUGGGGGUUGGAAAGUUUCGGCGGUUGGGGAUGGACUCGCGGCUUAUCAGCUUGUUGGUGGGGUAGUGGCUUACCAAGGCUUUGACGGGUAGCCGGCCUGAGAGGGUGACCGGCCACAUUGGGACUGAGAUACGGCCCAGACUAAUACGGGAGGCAGCAGUGGGGAAUAUUGCACAAUGGGCGGAAGCCUGAUGCAGCAACGCCGCGUGCGGGAUGACGGCCUUCGGGUUGUAAACCGCUUUCGCCUGUGACGAAGCGUGAGUGACGGUAAUGGGUAAAGAAGCACCGGCUAACUACGUG